ACGAAAGUCUGACGGAGCAACGCCGCGUGAGUGAAGAAGGUUUUCGGAUCGUAAAGCUCUGUCUUCAGGGACGAAUGUGCUUAAUGUGAAUAAUGUUAAGUAAUGACGGUACCUGAGGAGGAAGCCACGGCUAACUACGUGCCAGCAGCCGCGGUAAUACGUAGGUGGCAAGCGUUGUCCGGAAUUAUUGGGCGUAAAGCGCGCGCAGGCGGGAAUGUAAGUCUGUCUUAAAAGUUCGGGGCUCAACCCCGUGAUGGGAUGGAAACUACAUUUCUUGAGUGCAGGAGAGGAAAGUGGAAUUCCUAGUGUAGCGGUGAAAUGCGUAGAUAUUAGGAGGAACACCAGUGGCGAAGGCGACUUUCUGGACUGUGUCUGACGCUGAGGCGCGAAAGCCAGGGGAGUGAACAGGAUUAGAUACCCCGGUAAUCCUGGCCGUAAACGAUGGGUACUAGGUGUAGGAGGUAUCGACCCCUUCUGUGCCGGAGUUAACGCAAUAAGUACCCCGCCUGGGGAGU
This 515-nucleotide ribosomal RNA is filed under the name uncultured bacterium. RNAcentral's name for it is "bacterial SSU rRNA". It matches the Rfam family "Bacterial small subunit ribosomal RNA", at positions 375 to 881 of the family's 1533-position model. The record is from RNAcentral.